UAGGGAAUCUUCGGCAAUGGACGAAAGUCUGACCGAGCAACGCCGCGUGAGGGAAGAAGGUUUUCGGAUCGUAAAACGCUGGGGUGAGAGAAGAACAAGGACGUUAGUAACUGAACGUCCCCUGACGGGAGCUAACCAGAAAGCCACGGCUAACGACGUGCCAGCAGCCGCGGUAAUACGUAGGUGGCAAGCGUUGUCCGGAUUUAUUGGGCGUAAAGCGAGCGCAGGCGGUUUCUUAAGUCUGAUGUGAAAGCCCCCGGCUCAACCGGGGAGGGUCAUUGGAAACUGGGAGACUUGAGUGCAGAAGAGGAGAGUGGAAUUCCAUGUGUAGCGGUGAAAUGCGUAGAUAUAUGGAGGAACACCAGUGGCGAAGGCGGCUCUCUGGUCUGUAACUGACGCUGAGGCUCGAAAGCGUGGGGAGCAAACAGG
RNAcentral lists this ribosomal RNA (429 nucleotides) under Gemmatimonadota bacterium. RNAcentral's name for it is "Gemmatimonadetes bacterium partial 16S ribosomal RNA". It matches the Rfam family "Bacterial small subunit ribosomal RNA", at positions 355 to 776 of the family's 1533-position model. Lineage: Bacteria; Pseudomonadati; Gemmatimonadota. The record is from RNAcentral.